RNAcentral lists this ribosomal RNA (492 nucleotides) under Triticum aestivum (bread wheat). RNAcentral describes it as "partial small subunit ribosomal RNA". Lineage: Eukaryota; Viridiplantae; Streptophyta; Magnoliopsida; Poales; Poaceae. The record is from RNAcentral.
AUGGCGAUGAGGAAGAACAAGGUUCACGAGUUCGAGGCUGAUGUGCCCGCCGCCGACCUAUGGGGACUCUACGGCACACUCCGUGCGGCGGAGCUGCUGCCCGAGCUUCUCCCGCAGGUGCUCGCCAAGAUACAGCUCGUGAGCGGCGAUGGCGACGUCGGCACCAUCUUGGAGCUCACAUUCGCUCCAGGGAUCCCUGGCCUGGAGACAUACAGGGAGAAAUUCAUCAAAGUCGACAAUGAGAACUACAUCAAGGAAGCGCAGACGAUCGACGGAGACAUCCUGAAGCUCGGGUUCCUCUAUUACAUGGUCAGGUUCGAGAUCAUCGCCAAAGGACCCAGUUCUUCAGUGAUAAGAUCGACCAUUGUGUAUGAGAUAAACUAUGAAACUCACCCCGGGCUUGAAGCCAUGGUCAGCACCGGACCUCUGGCUGCAACUGCUGAGAAAUUUGCAGGGUACCUCAAGGAGCAGAAGAUCGCUCAGAGCAGUUAA